UCUAAGUAUAAACGAUAAGUGAAACCGCGAACGGCUCAUUACAUCAGUAAUAAUUUAAUAGAUGAUAAUACUCCUAAUUGGAUAUCUGAGGUAAUUCUUGAGCUAAUACAUGCGUUUUUGCAGAGCGUCUUUUGGCGCUCUGUGCAUUUAUUGGUCCAAAACCAAGCGGCCUUGGUCGUUUAAUUUGGUGACUCUGAAUAACUCUGUGAAUCGCACGGUCUCGUACUGGCGAUAGGUCUAUCAAGUUUCUGUUCUAUCAACUUUUGAUGGUUCUGUAUUGGAGAACCAUGGUUAUAACGGAUAACGGAGAAUUAGGGUUUGACUCCGGAGAGGGAGCCUGAGAAACGGCUACCACAUCCAAGGAAGGCAGCAGGCGCGAAAAUUACCCACUCUCAGUUCGAGGAGGUAGUGACGAAAAAUAACAAGACCGAUCGCUUUGCGAGCGGUUAUUGAAAUGGGUACAAUUUAAA
Molecule: ribosomal RNA, 470 nt
Filed under: unidentified nematode Sourhope farm
Lineage: Eukaryota; Metazoa; Nematoda
Description: bacterial SSU rRNA
Rfam family: Eukaryotic small subunit ribosomal RNA
Source: RNAcentral